UAUCAGACAAAAGAAUUCUUCACUGAGAACGACAUGAAUAACCAUUUCUUUGAAGUGUUUCCUGCAAAUACUCCUCUGCCAGAAGUCAUGAAGUGAUAACACUCCCACACUUCUUACUAGCCUUUAUGGGAAACCAGUUAUAGUGAUCUGGACGACGUCCAGGAAAAAAGCCAGCAAUAAAGUACUGUGGAUGGCCAAAG
Molecule: long non-coding RNA, 200 nt
Organism: Phasianus colchicus (ring-necked pheasant)
Lineage: Eukaryota; Metazoa; Chordata; Aves; Galliformes; Phasianidae
Source: RefSeq, a predicted model, not a curated record